UGAAGGGGGAUUAUUCUCACUAAUCGCCAUGUGGUCAAACCAGGACCUGUAGUUGCCGAAGCAAUGUUUGUAAAUCGAGAAUAAAUAACUGUGCAUCCUAUAUAUAGAGAUCUGGUUCAUGAUUUUGGCUUCUUUCGUUACGAUCCUGAUGCAAUUCAAUUUUUAGACUAUGAGGAGAUUCCACUUGCCCCAGAGGCCGUUUGUGUUGGCUUAGAAAUCAGGGUUGUUGGUAAUGAUAGUAG
Long non-coding RNA from Hibiscus syriacus, 242 nucleotides. RefSeq lists it as uncharacterized. The record is from RefSeq and is a predicted model, not a curated record. Lineage: Eukaryota; Viridiplantae; Streptophyta; Magnoliopsida; Malvales; Malvaceae. The transcript is spliced from 3 exons.